Long non-coding RNA from Notolabrus celidotus (New Zealand spotty), 703 nucleotides. RefSeq lists it as uncharacterized. Lineage: Eukaryota; Metazoa; Chordata; Actinopteri; Labriformes; Labridae. The record is from RefSeq and is a predicted model, not a curated record. The transcript has 3 exons.
AAAUGUCAUAUGUCCAAGGAAGUAAAACGUCAAAGAUCAUACUUUUCCAAAUAAUUCGUUUAAAUCCUAAACAUCUGUUGUCUUCGCAUAUUUCGUCUUAAGCUGUAAUGGAUAAGCACGAUGUCUGCCACCCUUUAAACGGCUUAACAGAAUGGCAGUGUUCUACACUUGUGGGAUGUUCAAGUCCAAUCCCUCAAAAAGACACCAUGAAAACAUUUCAUCUAAGGACUCCAGAAAACAAAGUUUAUUUCAGCAGCACCUUCUUUCCAAGUCAUCUGUUUUCAUCUGGGCUAAUGAAGCAGAGACAUCCUCAUCCCUCAUCCUUACUGAAGAGAUGGGUUGUGAGAUCUGCAACACCUGCAUACUAGGAGUUGGUUAGGAGUUGGUAUGGGUAAACUUAGAUGCUGAUUUAGUGCAACUGGGUGUGACCGGAGAUGUCUUGUGGGAUCUAGUGUGAAAAUGUCUUUGCCGUUUGCCGCUUGUGUUACCUAUGCCUGUGUCUCAAUAAAGAAUUCAUUCACCAUUCCACACUUUGUCCAAACCUGUUAUCAAUAAAUGAAAAUGUGCUGCUGGUUUAAUAUAUAAUAGUACAUUUGAAUCACAAGGUGAACUUGUUGGUAUGUAUUGUAGUACAACCAUUUUGACGUGUCUUGUUGCAUCAGCCUUUGACUUUGUUCAAAUGAAGGCAACCUGAAUAAAGAAG